UUAUAGUUGCGCAGGCACUUUGAGAACCUCUAGAGAACCUCAGGCCAAUUGCACGUCCCCUUGACGGAGACGACGCAUUCGGAUGUCUGCCCUAUCAACUUUCAAUGGACUUUCUGCGCCUACCAUUGUGACCACGGGUAACGGGGAAUCAGGGUUCAAUUCCAGAGAGGGUGCCUGAGAAACGGCUACCACAUCCAAGGAAGGCAGCAGGCGCGCAAAUUACCCACUCCCGACGCGAGGAGGUAGUGACGA
This 252-nucleotide ribosomal RNA is filed under the name Pelobates cultripes (western spadefoot toad). RNAcentral's name for it is "SSU_rRNA_microsporidia". It matches the Rfam family "Eukaryotic small subunit ribosomal RNA", at positions 222 to 473 of the family's 1831-position model. The record is from RNAcentral. Lineage: Eukaryota; Metazoa; Chordata; Amphibia; Anura; Pelobatidae.